RNAcentral lists this ribosomal RNA (1357 nucleotides) under metagenome. RNAcentral describes it as "bacterial SSU rRNA". It matches the Rfam family "Bacterial small subunit ribosomal RNA", at positions 147 to 1498 of the family's 1533-position model. The record is from RNAcentral.
CGUAGCGAAAGUUACGCUAAUACCGCAUAUUCUGUGAGCAGGAAAGCAGGGGAUCGCAAGACCUUGCGCUGAUUGAGCGGCCGAUAUCAGAUUAGCUAGUUGGUGAGGUAAAGGCUCACCAAGGCGACGAUCUGUAGCGGGUCUGAGAGGAUGAUCCGCCACACUGGGACUGAGACACGGUCCAGACUCCUACGGGAGGCAGCAGUGGGGAAUUUUGGACAAUGGGCGCAAGCCUGAUCCAGCCAUGCCGCGUGAGUGAAGAAGGCCUUCGGGUUGUAAAGCUCUUUCAGCCGGGAAGAAAACGCAUGGGUUAAUACCCUGUGUGGAUGACGGUACCGGAAUAAGAAGCACCGGCUAACUACGUGCCAGCAGCCGCGGUAAUACGUAGGGUGCGAGCGUUAAUCGGAAUUACUGGGCGUAAAGCGUGCGCAGGCGGUUUGUUAAGAUAGGCGUGAAAUCCCCGGGCUCAACCUGGGAACUGCGUUUAUGACUGGCAGGCUAGAGUAUGGCAGAGGGGGGUGGAAUUCCACGUGUAGCAGUGAAAUGCGUAGAGAUGUGGAGGAACACCGAUGGCGAAGGCAGCCCCCUGGGCAAAUACUGACGCUCAUGCACGAAAGCGUGGGUAGCAAACAGGAUUAGAUACCCUGGUAGUCCACGCCCUAAACGAUGUCAACUAGGUGUUGGGAGGGUAAAACCUUUUAGUACCGGAGCUAACGCGUGAAGUUGACCGCCUGGGGAGUACGGCCGCAAGGUUAAAACUCAAAGGAAUUGACGGGGACCCGCACAAGCGGUGGAUGAUGUGGAUUAAUUCGAUGCAACGCGAAAAACCUUACCUACCCUUGACAUGUCCAGAAGCUCUUAGAGAUUUGAGUGUGCCCGAAAGGGAGCUGGAACACAGGUGUUGCAUGGCUGUCGUCAGCUCGUGUCGUGAGAUGUUGGGUUAAGUCCCGCAACGAGCGCAACCCUUGUCGUUAAUUGCCAUCAUUUAGUUGGGCACUUUAACGAGACUGCCGGUGACAAACCGGAGGAAGGUGGGGAUGACGUCAAGUCCUCAUGGCCCUUAUGGGUAGGGCUUCACACGUCAUACAAUGGUCGGUACAAAGGGUCGCCAACCCGCGAGGGGGAGCCAAUCCCAGAAAGCCGAUCGUAGUCCGGAUCGUAGGCUGCAACUCGCCUGCGUGAAGUCGGAAUCGCUAGUAAUCGUGGAUCAGCAUGUCACGGUGAAUACGUUCCCGGGUCUUGUACACACCGCCCGUCACACCAUGGGAGCGGGUUCCGCCAGAAGUAGGUAGCCUAACCGCAAGGGGGGCGCUUACCACGGCGGGGUUCGUGACUGGGGUGAAGUCGUAACAAGGUA